UUGACUGUACAAAGGUAGCAUAAUCAUUAGUCUUUUAAUAGGAGGCUGGCAUGAAGGGUUUGACGAGGAGUUGACUGUCUCAUUUGAUUUUAUUUUAGAAUUUAACUUUUCAGUUAAAAGGCUGAAAUUUCAUUGGAAGACGAGAAGACCCUAUAGAGUUUAAUAAUUAAUUUUAUAAUUAAUGUAUUAUAUUUAAUUUAUAUAUUUAAUUAUUUUGUUGGGGUGACAAAAAUAUAUAAUUAACUUUUUUAUUUAUUUAUCAUUGAUAUAUGUACUUAAGAUCCAGUCUUAUUGAUUGUUAGAAUAAGUUACCUUAGGGAUAACAGCGUAAUAU
RNAcentral lists this ribosomal RNA (334 nucleotides) under Ictinogomphus decoratus. RNAcentral describes it as "partial 16S ribosomal RNA". Lineage: Eukaryota; Metazoa; Arthropoda; Insecta; Odonata; Gomphidae. The record is from RNAcentral.